RNAcentral lists this ribosomal RNA (253 nucleotides) under uncultured bacterium. Its description in RNAcentral is "partial 16S ribosomal RNA". It matches the Rfam family "Bacterial small subunit ribosomal RNA", at positions 524 to 776 of the family's 1533-position model. The record is from RNAcentral.
UACGUAGGGCCCAAGCGUUGUUCGGAUUUACUGGGCGUAAAGGGCCCGUAGGCGGCUUAACAAGUCACUUGUGAAAUCUCCGGGCUUAACUCGGAACGGCCAAGUGAAACUGUUAUGCUAGAGUGCGGAAGGGGCAAUCGGAAUUCUUGGUGUAGCGGUGAAAUGCGUAGAUAUCAAGAGGAACACCUGAGGUGAAGACGGGUUGCUGGGCCGACACUGACGCUGAUGCGCGAAAGCCAGGGGAGCAAACGGG